Molecule: ribosomal RNA, 1379 nt
Filed under: uncultured bacterium
Lineage: Bacteria
Description: 16S ribosomal RNA
Rfam family: Bacterial small subunit ribosomal RNA
Source: RNAcentral
UUCGCCCUUAGAGUUUGAUCCUGGCUCAGGACGAACGCUGGCGGCGCGCCUAACACAUGCAAGUCGAACGGAGCUUAAAGAGCUUGCUUUUUAAGCUUAGUGGCGAACGGGUGAGUAACGCGUGAGUAACCUGCCCUGGAGUGGGGGACAACAGUUGGAAACGACUGCUAAUACCGCAUAAGCCCACGGAUCCGCAUGGAUCUGAGGGAAAAGGAUUUAUUCGCUUCAGGAUGGACUCGCGUCCAAUUAGCUAGUUGGUGAGGUAACGGCCCACCAAGGCGACGAUUGGUAGCCGGACUGAGAGGUUGAACGGCCACAUUGGGACUGAGACACGGCCCAGACUCCUACGGGAGGCAGCAGUGGGGGAUAUUGCACAAUGGGGGAAACCCUGAUGCAGCGACGCCGCGUGGAGGAAGAAGGUUUUCGGAUUGUAAACUCCUGUCGUUAGGGACGAUAAUGACGGUACCUAACAAGAAAGCACCGGCUAACUACGUGCCAGCAGCCGCGGUAAAACGUAGGGUGCAAGCGUUGUCCGGAAUUACUGGGUGUAAAGGGAGCGCAGGCGGACCGGCAAGUUGGAAGUGAAAACUAUGGGCUCAACCCAUAAAUUGCUUUCAAAACUGCUGGCCUUGAGUAGUGCAGAGGUAGGUGGAAUUCCCGGUGUAGCGGUGGAAUGCGUAGAUAUCGGGAGGAACACCAGUGGCGAAGGCGACCUACUGGGCACCAACUGACGCUGAGGCUCGAAAGCAUGGGUAGCAAACAGGAUUAGAUACCCUGGUAGUCCAUGCCGUAAACGAUGAUUACUAGGUGUUGGAGGAUUGACCCCUUCAGUGCCGCAGUUAACACAAUAAGUAAUCCACCUGGGGAGUACGGCCGCAAGGCUGAAACUCAAAGGAAUUGACGGGGGCCCGCACAAGCAGUGGAGUAUGUGGUUUAAUUCGAAGCAACGCGAAGAACCUUACCAGGUCUUGACAUCGAGUGACGAACUUAGAGAUAAGUUCUUCCUUCGGGACACGAAGACAGGUGGUGCAUGGUUGUCGUCAGCUCGUGUCGUGAGAUGUUGGGUUAAGUCCCGCAACGAGCGCAACCCUUAUCAUUAGUUGCUACGCAAGAGCACUCUAAUGAGACUGCCGUUGAUAAAACGGAGGAAGGUGGGGAUGACGUCAAAUCAUCAUGCCCCUUAUGACCUGGGCUACACACGUACUACAAUGGUGAUCAAACAGAGGGAAGCAACACAGCGAUGUGAAGCAGAACCCGAAAAAUCAUCUCAGUUCAGAUUGCAGGCUGCAACUCGCCUGCAUGAAGUCGGAAUUGCUAGUAAUCGCGGAUCAGCAUGUCGCGGUGAAUACGUUCCCGGGCCUUGCACACACCGCCCGUCA